Molecule: non-coding RNA, 124 nt
Organism: Triticum aestivum (bread wheat)
Lineage: Eukaryota; Viridiplantae; Streptophyta; Magnoliopsida; Poales; Poaceae
Source: Rfam
CAUUUACUCCCUCCGUCCGGGAAUACUUGUCCUAGAAACGAAUAAAAUGAAUGUAUCUAUAAUUACAAUAAGUCUAGAUACAACCAUUUCAAGGACAAGUAUUUUCGGGCGGAGGGAGUACAUC